This 489-nucleotide ribosomal RNA is filed under the name uncultured bacterium. Its description in RNAcentral is "partial 16S ribosomal RNA". It matches the Rfam family "Bacterial small subunit ribosomal RNA", at positions 28 to 523 of the family's 1533-position model. The record is from RNAcentral.
GAUGAACGCUGGCGGCGUGCUUAACACAUGCAAGUCGAACGGAAAGGCCUGUACUUGUACAGGUACUCGAGUGGCGAACGGGUGAGUAACACGUGGGUGAUCUGCCCUGCACUGUGGGAUAAGCCCGGGAAACUGGGUCUAAUACCAUAUAGGACCACUUCUUGGAUGGUGUGGUGGAAAGCUUUUGCGGUGUGGGAUGAGCCUGAGGCCGAUCAGCUUGUUGGUGGGGUAAAGGCCUACCAAGGCGGCGAGGGGUAGCCGGCCUGGGAGGGGGGAAGGACACAUUGGGACUGAGAUACGGCCCAGACACCUACGGGAGGCAGCAGUGGGGAAUAUUGCACAAUGGGCGGAAGCCUGAUGCAGCGACGCCGCGUGGGGGAUGACGGCCUUCGGGUUGUAAACUCCUUUCGCUAUCGACGAAGCCACCUUGGGUGGUGACGGUAGGUAGAUAAGAAGCACCGGCUAACUACGUGCCAGCCGCCGCAGUAA